CCUACGGGAGGCAGCAGUGGGGAAUAUUGGGCAAUGGACGCAAGUCUGACCCAGCAACGCCGCGUGAAGGAAGAAGGCUUUCGGGUUGUAAACUUCUUUUAAGGGGGAAGAGCAGAAGACGGUACCCCUUGAAUAAGCCACGGCUAACUACGUGCCAGCAGCCGCGGUAAUACGUAGGUGGCAAGCGUUGUCCGGAUUUACUGGGUGUAAAGGGCGUGCAGCCGGAGAGACAAGUCAGAUGUGAAAUCCACGGGCUCAACCCGUGAACUGCCUUUGAAACUGUUUCCCUUGAGUGUCGGAGAGGUAAUCGGAAUGCCUUGUGUAGCGGUGAAAUGCGUAGAUAUAAGGAAGAACACCAGUGGCGAAGGCAGAUUACUGGACGAUAACUGACGGUGAGGCGCGAAAGCGUGGGGAGCAAACAGGAUUAGAUACCCUUGUAGUC
RNAcentral lists this ribosomal RNA (442 nucleotides) under uncultured bacterium. RNAcentral's name for it is "partial 16S ribosomal RNA". It matches the Rfam family "Bacterial small subunit ribosomal RNA", at positions 338 to 795 of the family's 1533-position model. The record is from RNAcentral.